AUGCCUGGGAGGAAGGGAAUGCAUGAGCAUCUGGUCGGCCAAAAGCAUGGAGUGUGGAAUGAUGUCUUAACUUUACUCUCAGUUGGUUUAGGUAUGAAAGUCUCUCAUUCCCCAACAUAUCCAUGGAUGCAUUCAUCCAUCAUCCAUCCAUCGAUCCAUCGAUCCAUCGACCCAUCUAUCCAUCAUCCAUCCAUCCAUCAUCCAUCCAUCAAUCCAUCGACCCAUCCAUCCAUCAUCCAUCCAUCCAUCCAUCCAUCAUCCAUCCAUCAUCCAUCCAUCGAUCCAUCGACGCAUCCAUCCAUCAUCCAUCCAUCCAUCCAUCCAUCAUCCAUCCAUCCAUCAUCCAUCCAUCCAUCCAUCCAUCAUCCAUCCAUCCAUCUAUCCAUCCAUCAUCCAUCCAUCCAUCAUCCAUCCAUCCAUCCAUCCAUCAUUUGCAUGUUUAGUUUGAUUUAUUGAGACUUUACAAAAUGCGCUAUUUUAUCAUUUGCAGUGAAAGCUAGAAAAAGGACUAACACAUACCUCACUUCUCAACUGGGCAAAACACCACCCCCCCACCCCUCCUCAAGGGUGGGGUGAGGAGCAUCUGGAAACGUCUGGAGACAUUUGGUUGUCAUGACUGAGGAAAUACUACCGGCAUCUGGUGGGUGGAGGCCAUGGAUGCUGCUAACAACCCUUCAAUGUGCGGGACGGCCCCCACAACAAAGAAUUGUCUGGUGGAAAAUGCAGAGGUUGAGAAACCCUGAUAUGGAUUCUUAACAACUCUUAGAAUUGGACAGAGUCCUAUGUUUAAUCUCAAAGAUCACCCUAAAUCUCUCCAGAAACAGAUAAUAUAGAGUCAGGAAUCCUCCUUACCUGGAAGCUAUGAAACUCUGGUUAUUAUAGUUUCUCCUCACAGCACCUCCGAGAGACAGAGGACAUUCCUGUUUUACUGAUGAGCGACUCCGGCUAGAAGAGGUUAAGUAACUGUCAGAAAAAGUGUUCGCUUUUCCUCUUUCAUGAAGUAUAGCAAAGAGGUUAUUGAGUUUUUACUGAAAGGCUUACUCUGGGCUGUUGGGUGUCAGCACCAGCAUUUUUGGAGGAAAUUCAAGUCCUCUCUCUAUAGAGCUGUCAAGCAAUGACUCGUCCUUAAAGGUGGGCCAAAAGUUCCCCUAUAGUUUUUCAAUUAUGUGAGAACAACAGCUAAGGAGUUAUUGAUCUCCAGGGUACGUGCUGGCACAGGGAG
RNAcentral lists this long non-coding RNA (1222 nucleotides) under Felis catus (domestic cat). RNAcentral's name for it is "lncRNA (ENSFCAG00000048853.1)". Lineage: Eukaryota; Metazoa; Chordata; Mammalia; Carnivora; Felidae. The record is from RNAcentral.